UGCGUAGGUGGUUGUACAAGUUAGCAGUGAAAUUCCGGGGCUUAACUCCGGCGCUACUGCUAAGACUGUAUAACUUGAGUGCAGGAGGGGUAAGUGGAAUUCCUAGUGUAGCGGUGGAAUGCGUAGAUAUUAGGAGGAACACCAGUGGCGAAGGCGACUUACUGGACUGUAACUGACACUGAGGCACGAAAGCGUGGGGAGCAAACA
Molecule: ribosomal RNA, 207 nt
Filed under: uncultured bacterium
Lineage: Bacteria
Description: partial 16S ribosomal RNA
Rfam family: Bacterial small subunit ribosomal RNA
Source: RNAcentral